CCUACGGGAGGCAGCAGUGGGGAAUAUUGGGCAAUGGGCGCAAGCCUGACCCAGCAACGCCGCGUGAAGGAAGAAGGCUUUCGGGUUGUAAACUUCUUUUAAGAGGGAAGAAGAACUGACGGUACCCAAGGAGGAAGCCCCGGCUAACUACGUGCCAGCAGCCGCGGUAAUACGUAGGGGGCAAGCGUUAUCCGGAAUUAUUGGGCGUAAAGAGUACGUAGGUGGCAACCUAAGCGCAGGGUUUAAGGCAAUGGCUCAACCAUUGUUCGCCCUUGGAACUGGGAUGCUUGAGUGCAGGAGAGGAAAGCGGAAUGCCUAGUGUAGCGGUGAAAUGCGUAGAUAUUAGGAGGAACACCAGUGGCGAAGGCGGCUUUCUGGACUGUAACUGACACUGAGGUACGAAAGCGUGGGGAGCAAACAGGAUUAGAUACCCUUGUAGUC
RNAcentral lists this ribosomal RNA (441 nucleotides) under uncultured bacterium. RNAcentral describes it as "partial 16S ribosomal RNA". It matches the Rfam family "Bacterial small subunit ribosomal RNA", at positions 338 to 795 of the family's 1533-position model. The record is from RNAcentral.